This 75-nucleotide transfer RNA is filed under the name Clostridia bacterium. RNAcentral describes it as "tRNA-Thr". It matches the Rfam family "tRNA". From Rfam's summary of the family: Transfer RNA (tRNA) molecules are approximately 80 nucleotides in length. Their secondary structure includes four short double-helical elements and three loops (D, anti-codon, and T loops). The record is from RNAcentral. Lineage: Bacteria; Bacillati; Bacillota; Clostridia.
GCUUCGUUAGCUCAGUGGCAGAGCAGCUGUUUCGUAAUCAGCAGGUCGGGAGUUCAAAUCUCCUGCGAAGCUCCA